GCAGUAGCCGCGGUAAUACGAAGGGGGCUAGCGUUGCUCGGAAUUACUGGGCGUAAAGGGAGCGUAGGCGGACAUUUAAGUCAGGGGCGAAAUCCCGGGGCUCAACCUCGGAAUUGCCUUUGAUACUGGGUGUCUUGAGUAUGAGAGAGGUAUGUGGAACUCCGAGUGUAGAGGUGAAGUUCGUAGAUAUUCGGAAGAACACCAGUGGCGAAGGCGACAUACUGGCUCAUUACUGACGCUGAGGCUCGAAAGCGUGGGGAGCAAACAGGAUUAGAUACCCCAGUAGUCCCUGUCUCUUAUAC
RNAcentral lists this ribosomal RNA (302 nucleotides) under uncultured bacterium. RNAcentral's name for it is "partial 16S ribosomal RNA". It matches the Rfam family "Bacterial small subunit ribosomal RNA", at positions 508 to 807 of the family's 1533-position model. The record is from RNAcentral.